RNAcentral lists this ribosomal RNA (266 nucleotides) under uncultured prokaryote. RNAcentral's name for it is "partial 16S ribosomal RNA". It matches the Rfam family "Bacterial small subunit ribosomal RNA", at positions 524 to 788 of the family's 1533-position model. The record is from RNAcentral.
UACGGAGGAUGCGAGCGUUAUCCGGAUUUAUUGGGUUUAAAGGGUGCGUAGGCGGCUUUUUAAGUCAGCGGUGAAAUUUUGCAGCUUAACUGUAACAGUGCCGUUGAUACUGGGGAGCUAGGAUUUGGUUGCUGUGGGUGGAAUGUGUGGUGUAGCGGUGAAAUGCUUAGAUAUCACGAGGAACUCCGAUUGCGCAGACAGCUUACUAAACUACUACUGACGCUCAGGCACGAAGGCGUGGGGAUCAAACAGGAUUAGAUACCCCU